UGAAUUCUUAGCUAAUAUUGCUGUAUCGGUGGCCUUGAUAUGUAAUUGGUGCUUUGUAGAGUAAUUUGCAAGUUGCAAAUUUAUAUGCUGGUACCGACAGUGUAGAGCUCAAAGGCCUGAAAUAAUUGCUGAAUUGAAUUAUUUCUUAAGGCAUUGUAUCUACAAGUUGCAAGUGUAUAUUCUUUUCUCAAAGAAGCCGUUCCUGGCGUUUUUAGAAUCCACCGGCUACUCUCAAGAAGAUGUGCUCCUUCAGAAGCCCAAAGCUGGGCUCCUGAAGCCUACUUUCACAAUUAUAUGUGAUAAAGAUUCAAAAUGCUUCCUUUGAUAAAGAUUCAAAAUACUUCCUUUUAUUGAUUCGUGGAACCCAUAGUAUCAAAGAUACACUAACAGCAGCUAGUGGUGUAGUGGUACCUUUCCUCUCUUUUAUUUUGCAUGAUGGUGGGAUAAGCAAUUUGGUUCUGGUUUUUGCAUAUUGUGGGAUGGUUGUUGCUGCUCGUUGGAUUGCUAAGCUCAACACUUCAUCCUUGCUUAAGGCUCUCAAUGACUAUCCUGACUACAAAGUUAAGGCUUCUAGGAUCACUUAGUGUACAAAGGACACCAAAUAUUCUUGUACAAAAGAGAACAAAUAUCUGCUAUAGAUUUGUGAGGUGCAUUUCAAAGGCCAAGGAUAUGGAGAAUUUAAUGACAUUAGAUCCAUUACUAUUAUGGUCGAUUAUAUUGUUCCAGCAGUUCUUCAACAACUUGGCAUGCUGAAAUACAGUUCAAAGCUUGCCAAAUUGAUUGUGGCUAAUAAUGAAAUAGAUUCAGGCAGUGAGGAGGAAGUUAAGCUAUGGACUUGCUCCAUAUAUGCUGUGGAGAGGAUGAAGGAGUUGAUCAGUAAAAAAUCAGGGAAGCAGGUGCUUAGUGUGGAGUUAGACCUUUGGCUUUGGUCUUUUGGCAUUCAAUUUCCAUCUCUGCAACACCACUGAACACUUUCAACAUAUUACUGAGCUCACCAUAUCCGAUGGUGUCCUUCUUAAUUUAUGCUUCUAACUGUAAGAUUAUAGGAACUAGCAUAGUAAGUUUUAGGGCGAAGUCAUUAGAAAGAUGUGUCUAUAAAUUCCUCGCAUCUAUUGUUCUGUUUGCAUGGUUGUAGCUUUUCUUAAUUUUGAGAAGUACUACUAAUAUUAGCCUUGAGUUGAUGAACCAAAAACUUAUUGUUUUAAAAAUUGAACAUUUGAUAUGUUGCUAUUACCUAUUUUGAGAUA
This is a long non-coding RNA of Ziziphus jujuba (common jujube), 1247 nucleotides long. RefSeq lists it as uncharacterized. Lineage: Eukaryota; Viridiplantae; Streptophyta; Magnoliopsida; Rosales; Rhamnaceae. The record is from RefSeq and is a predicted model, not a curated record. The transcript is spliced from 4 exons.